CAGAGCAGGAAACUGUGCGUUAAGUGUCCGGCAGAGGGGGAGUUGCUGCCGGAAGGAAAAGCUGAAAAGCUUUCGGUAUAGUUUCCGCAUCCCGCUG
RNAcentral lists this non-coding RNA (97 nucleotides) under pig gut metagenome. RNAcentral's name for it is "THF riboswitch". It matches the Rfam family "THF (Tetrahydrofolate) riboswitch aptamer". From Rfam's summary of the family: THF riboswitch presents a pseudoknot that joins P1-P2 and the loop of P3 and two THF binding. The record is from RNAcentral.